UCAUGGACUUCCUAUGAUCGUGACCUU
RNAcentral lists this non-coding RNA (27 nucleotides) under Mus musculus (house mouse). The record is from RNAcentral. Lineage: Eukaryota; Metazoa; Chordata; Mammalia; Rodentia; Muridae.